UACGUAGGGGGCAAGCGUUGUCCGGAAUCAUUGGGCGUAAAGCGCGUGUAGGCGGCCAGGUAAGUCCGUUCUGAAAGCCCGGGGCUCAACCCCGGGAGGCGGAUGGAUACUGCUUGGCUCGAGUCCGUAAGAGGCGAGUGGAAUUCCCGGUGUAGCGGUGAAAUGCGCAGAUAUCGGGAGGAACACCAAUGGCGAAGGCAGCUCGCUGGGACGGUACUGACGCUGAGACGCGAAAGCGUGGGGAGCAAACAGG
RNAcentral lists this ribosomal RNA (253 nucleotides) under uncultured bacterium. Its description in RNAcentral is "partial 16S ribosomal RNA". It matches the Rfam family "Bacterial small subunit ribosomal RNA", at positions 524 to 776 of the family's 1533-position model. The record is from RNAcentral.